CCUACGGGCGGCAGCAGUGGGGAAUAUUGCACAAUGGGGGAAACCCUGAUGCAGCGACGCCGCGUGAGUGAGGAAGUAUUUCGGUAUGUAAAGCUCUAUCAGCAGGGAAGAAAAUGACGGUACCUGAGUAAGAAGCCCCGGCUAACUACGUGCCAGCAGCCGCGGUAAUACGUAGGGGGCAAGCGUUAUCCGGAUUUACUGGGUGUAAAGGGAGCGUAGACGGCCAAGCAAGUCAGAAGUGAAAAGCCAGGGCUCAACUUUGGGACUGCUUUGGAAACUGAGUAGCUGGAGUGCAGGAGAGGUAAGCGGAAUUCCUAGUGUAGCGGUGAAAUGCGUAGAUAUUAGGAGGAACACCAGUGGCGAAGGCGGCUUACUGGACUGUAACUGACGUUGAGGCUCGAAAGCGUGGGGAGCAAACAGGAUUAGAUACCCGAGUAGUC
This 440-nucleotide ribosomal RNA is filed under the name uncultured bacterium. RNAcentral describes it as "partial 16S ribosomal RNA". It matches the Rfam family "Bacterial small subunit ribosomal RNA", at positions 338 to 795 of the family's 1533-position model. The record is from RNAcentral.